CGUUCGUUGAUCCCUGUGGGAUUUAGACUGCCGGUUUGAAAGAUGAGCUUUGGUUUUUAAUUGGAAUAAGCCAGCACAUGCUUCCUUCGUCAUGAUAACGAAAAACUUUGAGAACAGGUCGGGCACUCUUAGCAUUAAUACUUUUAUAGUGUUUAAAUAUAGCUGUACCAAUUGCAUGGUUUCCUUGAUAUACUAAUGAGAUCGAGAUAUAGGAAUAUUGAGGAGGUAUGGUGAUGGUACAAUUUCAAAUCAAAAUCCGGUAAGAAAUAAAUUUGUGUUUAUUGUAAAAUAACCUUAUAGCGCUGUUUUGUUUCAGAUGGUCCUUUGGAAUGUUAUUAUGGGAGAUUGAAUCUGGAGGUAAAAUGCCGUAUUCUGGUCUUGGCGGAAUGGAAAUAAUUAAAUUUCUGAAGGUAAGACAAAUUUUAACAAGGCCGUAUGGAUGCCCAAAUAAAAAGUAAAUAAUGUAAUCUUAAAUGAAAUGAGAACUCGGUCUGUCAUAGUUUUUCAGCUCUAAGGUUGACUAAUCUAAACCGUUUUCAUCUCACUGUUACGAUAUCAUGAAGUUCUGCUGGAAUUUUGAUCCUACAAAGCGUCCUACCUUUUCUGAGCUUUUGGAAUCACUCGAGGAGGAACUAAAAAACAAAGACGGCUCCCAGAAGGAUGCGAGCGAUCAUGACUAUGAAAAGAGCUGAGUGGUUUUUGAAAAUACAAUCAGAUCUGGGUGGCAUCGAAGAUGACCUAUCUUUUACUUCAAGUUGAUUAGCUGAACAACGGUGCUCAAGUUAUGUGGCGAAAGCUAAUAACAAUGGUUCAUUGACAGGUUGACCUAGUAAACUGUGUGUUGCGCACAGAGUAAAAAAAAAAACGUUAAUUAAAUCACCUUGAAAGUCAAAAUAGAUGUUUCUGUAAUUGUCAGUAAAGGGCGUCAAAGAAAUUAUUGCAUGAUACUUUGAAAUGUUUCUGCAAUGAAGAAAUUUGACAUCAAAGAAAAAAAACAUUGAAAAUAACAGUUGCCUAGGGUCAGUAGACAAAGAGUAAAGAAAUAAGAAGAAAGAACAUUUCACAACGGGAGAUGCAGUUCAUUUAAUUGCGGUUAGUUGUAUACCAGAUCCGAUGAAAGUUGCUUUUUUAUGAAUGUU
Long non-coding RNA from Stylophora pistillata, 1139 nucleotides. The record is from RefSeq and is a predicted model, not a curated record. NCBI's taxonomy places the organism in Eukaryota, Metazoa, Cnidaria, Anthozoa, Scleractinia, Pocilloporidae.